This 253-nucleotide ribosomal RNA is filed under the name uncultured bacterium. Its description in RNAcentral is "partial 16S ribosomal RNA". It matches the Rfam family "Bacterial small subunit ribosomal RNA", at positions 524 to 776 of the family's 1533-position model. The record is from RNAcentral.
UACGGAGGGGGCAAGCGUUGUUCGGAUUUACUGGGCGUAAAGGGCGCGUAGGCGGUUUGGUAAGUUACUUGUGAAAUCUCUGGGCUUAACCCAGAACGGCCAAGUAAUACUGCCGAACUAGAGUGCAGAAGGGGCAACUGGAAUUCUUGGUGUAGCGGUGAAAUGCGUAGAUAUCAAGAGGAACACCUGAGGCGAAGGCGGGUUGCUGGGCUGACACUGACGCUGAGGCGCGAAAGCUAGGGGAGCAAACAGG